UACGGAGGGAGCUAGCGUUGUUCGGAAUUACUGGGCGUAAAGCGCACGUAGGCGGAUACUUAAGUCAGGGGUGAAAUCCCGGGGCUCAACCCCGGAACUGCCUUUGAUACUGGGUAUCUCGAGUCCGGAAGAGGUGAGUGGAAUUCCGAGUGUAGAGGUGAAAUUCGUAGAUAUUCGGAGGAACACCAGUGGCGAAGGCGGCUCACUGGUCCGGUACUGACGCUGAGGUGCGAAAGCGUGGGGAGCAAACAGG
Molecule: ribosomal RNA, 253 nt
Filed under: uncultured bacterium
Lineage: Bacteria
Description: partial 16S ribosomal RNA
Rfam family: Bacterial small subunit ribosomal RNA
Source: RNAcentral